This 428-nucleotide ribosomal RNA is filed under the name uncultured bacterium. Its description in RNAcentral is "partial 16S ribosomal RNA". It matches the Rfam family "Bacterial small subunit ribosomal RNA", at positions 354 to 796 of the family's 1533-position model. The record is from RNAcentral.
GUAGGGAAUAUUGCACAAUGGAGGAAACUCUGAUGCAGCGACGCCGCGUGAGUGAUGAAGGCCUUCGGGUCGUAAAGCUCUGUCGCAGGGGAAUAACACAAUGAAGGUACCCUGUAAGAAAGGAUCGGCUAACUUCGUGCCAGCAGCCGCGGUAAGACGAGGGAUCCUAGCGUUGUUCGGAAUCAUUGGGCGUAAAGCGGAUGUAGGUGGCUAUGUAAGUCAGAUGUGAAAGCCUGGGGCUCAACCCCAGAAGUGCAUUUGAUACUGCGUAGCUUGAGUGUCGGAGAGGUUACUAGAAUUGUUGGUGUAGUGGUGAAAUACGUAGAUAUCAACAGGAAUACCGGAGGCGAAGGCGGGUAACUGGCCGAACACUGACACUGAGAUCUGAAAGCGUGGGGAUCAAACAGGAUUAGAAACCCUGGUAGUCC